GCCUGGGUGGCUCAGUCAGUUAAGUGUCUGACUUCAGCUCAGGUCAUGAUCUCACAGUUUGUGGGUUCGAGCCCCGCGUCAGGCU
RNAcentral lists this transfer RNA (85 nucleotides) under Felis catus (domestic cat). It matches the Rfam family "tRNA". Rfam says of the family: Transfer RNA (tRNA) molecules are approximately 80 nucleotides in length. The record is from Rfam by way of RNAcentral. Lineage: Eukaryota; Metazoa; Chordata; Mammalia; Carnivora; Felidae.